AUGAACAGCAGCUGUGUGAGCUGGAGGAGGAGCUUUCUUAAGCUCCUCUUGGUUGUUGAAGUUCAUUCAGUGUCUGUCAAGAUGGGAGCUGAUUCAUUUGUGGCUCUUUUUGUUCUGGCGCUUUGCGUUAGCAAAGGUUGGAGCUUGCAAGUUGAGAAACAGAAUAAAAUAGCAGAGAAUGUACAGCUUCAAAGGAAAUCGGAGUUUACUUUGAGAAGCAACCUUGGACUUGCUCAGUCAAUGGAUUCCAGGUUGGACAGACAUAUUAAAAAAAGUUCAACUGGAAACCAAUGAGGUGGAAGCUGAGGAAUCAUUGGGAAAACUGCAGUUUGUUGAUCAGACUAACGGAAUAGUGUCCGCCGCCGCCGGCAACCAGACUGUGUCCGACGCCGCCGGCAACUGACAAAUAAAUGGGAUUCUACACUUUCA
Oryzias melastigma (Indian medaka) is the source of this 429-nucleotide long non-coding RNA. RefSeq lists it as uncharacterized. Lineage: Eukaryota; Metazoa; Chordata; Actinopteri; Beloniformes; Adrianichthyidae. The transcript has 4 exons. The record is from RefSeq and is a predicted model, not a curated record.